GCACCAGACUCCUACGGGAGGCAGCAGUGGGGGAUAUUGCACAAUGGGGGGAACCCUGAUGCAGCGACGCCGCGUGGGUGAAGGAGUGCUUCGGCAUGUAAAGCCCUAUCGGCAGGGAAGAAGCAAGACGGUACCUGACUAAGAAGCCCCGGCUAACUACGUGCCAGCAGCCGCGGUAAUACGUAGGUGGCAAGCGUUAUCCGGAUUUACUGGGUGUAAAGGGCGUGUAGGCGGGAAAGCAAGUCAGAUGUGAAAACCAUGGGCUCAACCUGUGGCCUGCAUUUGAAACUGUUUUUCUUGAGUACUGGAGAGGCAGACGGAAUUCCUAGUGUAGCGGUGAAAUGCGUAGAUAUUAGGAAGAACACCAGUGGCGAAGGCGGCUUUCUGGACUGAAACUGACGCUGAGGCACGAAAGCGUGGGGAGCGAACAGGAUUAGAUACCCGAGUAA
RNAcentral lists this ribosomal RNA (449 nucleotides) under uncultured bacterium. RNAcentral's name for it is "bacterial SSU rRNA". It matches the Rfam family "Bacterial small subunit ribosomal RNA", at positions 328 to 793 of the family's 1533-position model. The record is from RNAcentral.